RNAcentral lists this ribosomal RNA (495 nucleotides) under uncultured bacterium. RNAcentral's name for it is "bacterial SSU rRNA". It matches the Rfam family "Bacterial small subunit ribosomal RNA", at positions 29 to 518 of the family's 1533-position model. The record is from RNAcentral.
AUGAACGCUAGCGACAGGCCUAACACAUGCAAGUCGAGGGGCAGCACAAGGAGCAAUCUGAGGUGGCGACCGGCGCACGGGUGAGUAACACGUAUGCAACCUGCUGUAAGCGGGGAAUAACCCGUUGAAAGACGGACUAAUACCGCAUAAUACUAAAUUACUGCAUGGUAAUUUAUUUUAAACAUUUAUGGCUUACAGAUGGGCAUGCGCAUGAUUAGCUAGUUGGAGAGGUAACGGCUCCCCAAGGCAACGAUCAUUAGGGGUUCUGAGAGGAAGGUCCCCCACACUGGUACUGAGACACGGACCAGACUCCUACGGGAGGCAGCAGUGAGGAAUAUUGGUCAAUGGACGAGAGUCUGAACCAGCCAAGUCGCGUGCAGGAAGAAUGUCCCUAUGGAUUGUAAACUGCUUUUGCAGGGGAAUAAAGUGCAUCACGUGUGAUGUUUUGUAUGUACUCUGCGAAUAAGGAUCGGCUAACUCCGUGCCAGCAGCCGC